GAAUAUUGAAUUAGAAACUGUGAUCUGGUGAUCCCAUGAGAUGUUUGAACAGAGAGAGAUGAGAAGCAGCCCUCUGCACCAGUGAAGAAGUGAGAAGACAUCUCUGUUCUCUGAGAUGAAGAAUCCUUUGCCUUUGGAGGUGUUGAUCUUUAAAAGCAAUAAAUUUGUUUCUUCAGUGGUACCUCAGGAUGUCUGACCUACAAGAGAGAUGCCCAAAAGGAUGUGCUUCCACCAAAGCAGGAGACAUCUCCAGCUGAAUUGUAAUGGGAUGUUGUCAAUUCAACAAGAAAUCUGCUUUUUCUUGCGGGUCAGAUGAAAACUUCCAGGCAUGGGGAAGUUGGUGACAGAGGAAAGCAGGAGUGCUGCUGCCCAGGGAAGUCCUCUGUGGGCACUAGGUGCUCAUGGGCUGGAUGAAGUGAGAGGAGCUGGAUCUUGCUUACAGAAUUUCCCAGGAUCACUCUUGCCGCAGGGUCUACAUGGCCAAGGGUAGAGUGUGGUGAUUAUGGAAAAUAUUUUGAUAUUGUCACAUUUCACUUCAUGAACUGGACAGGGACACCUGGAGAACACUUCCCUGCUGGCAGGUUUUAUCUCACUUUAACUGGGUCACUCUAGCACCAGCUCACCAUCACCCCCAAGCCCCUUUCCCUCUCCUCCCUGGAUCUCUAUGUCAGUGCAGGAGCACCCUUGGCAGAGGCACCAUUUCAUCUCCACUCCUGGUUUGCUCCAGGUCGUUUCCGCACUCUUUAGGAACUCGCUGUUGUCGUCGAGAUGGCCACAGCACUCAAGAGUGCUUCUUUAAAAACUUCAGAGGGCUCCAAGCAUCAGUACCUUGUUAUCUAAAAGUCUUUCAUACCUUUUCUAUGUUGCAGUCCCAUGAGUAGCUCCACACAGCUCUGACUCUUUUUUCUCUUUCUACCCUCCUUCUGCAGUUCCAGCUUGCUCCUUCCUUUCCCUAGCAUGGCUGCCUUACCCUGUCUGUCCCUCACAUGACCUCCUGUCUCUUCCUUCUCACAGCACAACCAGCAGACUCCAACUAACUCCUCUACCAACUAAUUCACUCUUUUAUCACAGCCAUAGCUGUGAGGGCAAGGCCGUUCCCAUUCUUUGAUAAUUAACACAGCUGCAAUGUAUGGGGGGCAAGAUUGCCUUUAGCACUAUCUCUGUCUUCCCACAACUCGCCUCAUUUCUGGGCUGCUUUUGAUUACCCCAAGCUUUUUGGGGAAUGAUACAAGCUCCUGCUGAGGUGAUUUCAGCCCAGAAAUAUCCUAGUGUUCUAGGGUGACUUUAUGAUGCUUGUAUCCCCAAUCGUCUGUUCUGUUUGUGCUGUAUAUUGUGUUCUGUACCUUUAAGACUAGUUUUGAGAGCAAAGCAGGGAAAGAAGUGUGCAGUUUGUUUUGAGAAAGCAGUGUUCACUCCUACACAUUCUUUCUCUGGAGUGUGGUUCGUCUGAGGCACGGACAGCAGCAGGACAGAGAUCUUUUUGCUUUUAGUUUCAGCUGGCUAGGGCAGAGAAGUUCCCUGGAUUGUUUUUGGGUUUUUUUUCCUUUUUCUUGGGACUGUUUAAACCUGCUUUGGACUGAAAAACGCAGAAGAAUACCAAGAGCUUGCACCUGGGGCCCACCAGGACCUGGACCCCUGGAGGAACUGAUAAAAGACUGGGAGAGCCAAGCUAACCCAUGGCAAGGACUUUCUGAAAUUGCCAUCUCACUUCAGAGCAAUGAAAGGUUUUAUUGUUUCAUAUUAUUCAUUCUUUGUGCUUGUGGGCAAUUUUGUUUGUUAAAUAAAUAGGUUUUUUUCACUUU
This is a long non-coding RNA of Hirundo rustica (Barn swallow), 1802 nucleotides long. RefSeq lists it as uncharacterized. NCBI's taxonomy places the organism in Eukaryota, Metazoa, Chordata, Aves, Passeriformes, Hirundinidae. The record is from RefSeq and is a predicted model, not a curated record. The transcript has 2 exons.